CAAACUUUCCAGAGGAUGAGCCUGCGUCUGAUUAGUUAGUUGGCGGGGUAACGGCCCACCAAGACGACGAUCAGUAGCUGGUCUGAGAGGAUGAUCAGCCACAUUGGGACUGAGAUACGGCCCAGACUCCUACGGGAGGCAGCAGUGAGGAAUAUUGCUCAAUGGGGGAAACCCUGAAGCAGCAACGCCGCGUGAGGGAUGAAGGGGCUUCGCCUCGUAAACCUCUGUAGUUGGGGACAAAUGUGAGACUACUGUCUCAUUGAUGGUACCCAAACAGUAAGGAUCGGCUAACUACGUGCCAGCCGCCGCCGUAACAC
RNAcentral lists this ribosomal RNA (317 nucleotides) under uncultured bacterium. RNAcentral describes it as "bacterial SSU rRNA". It matches the Rfam family "Bacterial small subunit ribosomal RNA", at positions 210 to 526 of the family's 1533-position model. The record is from RNAcentral.